UCCAAUUUUUUAUUAGCAGUUUCUUUUGUAAAUAUAACAAAAAAUAAGGGUUUCGCUCGUUACCGAAAUUAACCUGACAUCUCACGACACGAGCUGACGACAGCCAUGCAACACCUGAUUAAGAUUCAAAAAAUAAACUCAAUUGUAAAUUUUCCACAGAAUAUUUCUAUUCAGACAUCUUAACUUUCGAGAAUUGGUAAGAUUUGACGCGUUAUAUCGGAUUAAACCACAUGCUCCACCGCUUGUGCGGAUUUCCGUCAAUUCCUUUGAGUUUUAAUCUUGCGAUCGUAGUUCCCAGGCGGAAUGCUUAACGCGUUAGCUAGGAAACUAAAUAAUUAAAAUUAUCCAACAUCCAGCAUUCAUAGUUGACAGCAUAGACUAC
This 382-nucleotide unclassified non-coding RNA is filed under the name uncultured bacterium. RNAcentral's name for it is "contains 16S-23S intergenic spacer region". The record is from RNAcentral.